RNAcentral lists this unclassified non-coding RNA (190 nucleotides) under soil metagenome. RNAcentral's name for it is "partial contains 5.8S ribosomal RNA, internal transcribed spacer 2, and large subunit ribosomal RNA". The record is from RNAcentral.
AACGGUCUAUACCUGCGGUACCUGCGGAAGGAUCAUUACAAGGACACACUGUCUCCUUCAUACCCUUUGGUACCAGCUUGCCUGGUCCAAUGUUUGUCUAACCUUAAUCCUAGAUUUUUGACCACUAUGUUAUUAUUCUGACAGAAUGCUUUUGAGGAAUAUUGAAAAAAACUUUUAGCAAUGGAUCUCU